RNAcentral lists this ribosomal RNA (253 nucleotides) under uncultured bacterium. RNAcentral describes it as "partial 16S ribosomal RNA". It matches the Rfam family "Bacterial small subunit ribosomal RNA", at positions 524 to 776 of the family's 1533-position model. The record is from RNAcentral.
UACGUAGGGGGCAAGCGUUAUCCGGAUUUACUGGGUGUAAAGGGAGCGUAGACGGCAGCGCAAGUCUGGAGUGAAAUGCCGGGGCCCAACCCCGGAACUGCUUUGGAAACUGUGCGGCUCGAGUGCGGGAGAGGUAGGCGGAAUUCCUAGUGUAGCGGUGAAAUGCGUAGAUAUUAGGAGGAACACCAGUGGCGAAGGCGGCCUGCUGGACGACAACUGACGGUGAGGCGCGAAAGCGUGGGGAGCAAACAGG